Molecule: ribosomal RNA, 253 nt
Filed under: uncultured bacterium
Lineage: Bacteria
Description: partial 16S ribosomal RNA
Rfam family: Bacterial small subunit ribosomal RNA
Source: RNAcentral
UACGUAGGGAGCAAGCGUUGUCCGGAAUUAUUGGGCGUAAAGCGCGCGCAGGCGGCCUUUUAAGUCUGAUGUGAAAGCCCACGGCUCAACCGUAGAAGGUCAUUGGAAACUGAAAGGCUUGAGUACAGAAGAGGAAAGCGGAAUUCCACGUGUAGCGGUGAAAUGCGUAGAGAUGUGGAGGAACACCAGUGGCGAAGGCGGCACUCUGGGCCGGUACUGACGCUGAGGAGCGAAAGUGUGGGGAGCGAACAGG